AGAGUUUGAUCCUGGCUCAGAUUGAACGCUGGCGGCAUGCCUUACACAUGCAAGUCGAACGGCAGCACGGGUGCUUGCACCUGGUGGCGAGUGGCGAACGGGUGAGUAAUGUAUCGGAACGUACCAUUCAGUGGGGGAUAACUAUCCGAAAGGAUAGCUAAUACCGCAUAUUCUGUGAGCAGGAAAGCAGGGGAUCGCAAGACCUUGCGCUGAUUGAGCGGCCGAUAUCAGAUUAGCUAGUUGGUGGGGUAAAAGCCUACCAAGGCGACGAUCUGUAGCGGGCCUGAGAGGAUGAUCCGCCACACUGGAACUGAGACACGGUCCAGACUCCUACGGGAGGCAGCAGUGGGGAAUUUUGGACAAUGGGCGAAAGCCUGAUCCAGCCAUGCCGCGUGAGUGAAGAAGGCCUUCGGGUUGUAAAGCUCUUUCGGCCGGGAAGAAAUCGCAUAGGUUAAUACCCUGUGUGGAUGACGGUACCGGAAUAAGAAGCACCGGCUAACUACGUGCCAGCAGCCGCGGUAAUACGUAGGGUGCGAGCGUUAAUCGGAAUUACUGGGCGUAAAGCGUGCGCAGGCGGUUUUUUAAGACAGGCGUGAAAUCCCCGGGCUUAACCUGGGAACUGCGCUUGUGACUGGAAGGCUAGAGUACGGCAGAGGGGGGUGGAAUUCCACGUGUAGCAGUGAAGUGCGUAGGGAUGUGGAGGAACACCGAUGGCGAAGGCAGCCCCCUGGGCCGAUACUGACGCUCAUGCACGAAAGCGUGGGGAGCAAACAGGAUUAGAUACCCUGGUAGUCCACGCCCUAAACGAUGUCAACUAGGUGUUGGGUGGGUAAAACCAUUUAGUACCGGAGCUAACGCGUGAAGUUGACCGCCUGGGGAGUACGGCCGCAAGGUUAAAACUCAAAUGAAUUGACGG
RNAcentral lists this ribosomal RNA (916 nucleotides) under uncultured beta proteobacterium. Its description in RNAcentral is "bacterial SSU rRNA". It matches the Rfam family "Bacterial small subunit ribosomal RNA", at positions 8 to 916 of the family's 1533-position model. Lineage: Bacteria; Pseudomonadati; Pseudomonadota; Betaproteobacteria. The record is from RNAcentral.